AGCGGUUUGGUGGAGGGGGGAUGGGCGAGGAAAAUAUUUCCUCGUCAGCUGCGAAGCUUCAGUCACGUUAAGUCGAGACAGUCGCUGCAGAAAUGUGGAGAGGAAGUAACGUUAACUCAGUUAGUUCAUUCAGUCAGGAAAUUAAAAUUACAGUUUGUAGAGGAGGAACCGCUGCAGAAAAAAAUAUUCACACAUCGCUCAGACAGAAGAAACUGAACUGAAAACUGUGUGAAACUUUUACACAGAGCGGUUCAUGCUUUGAGGAAGAGUGUUUUUUGAGGUUCCUGGUGUGAGAUGAACAUGGCAACCUCACCGGGCUGCUGGCAUGGCUGGAAACUGACUAUUUAUGACUCUAUACACAGUGAUGUGUGAAUUCUAGAGUCCUGCAUGAUUUGCAGCCUGUGAGCUGCCGUCUUGCUUCUCAGCCAUCACCUACUUCCUGUCGCCAUCACCUACUUCCUGUCGCCAUUACCUACGUCCUGUCGACAUCACCUACUUCCUUUUUCCAUCACCUACUUCCUGUCACCAUUACCUACGUCCUUUCGCAAUCACCUACUUCCUGUCGCCAUCACCUACUUCCUGUCGUCAUCACCUUCUUCCUGUCACCAUCACCUACUUCCUAACACCAUCACCUACAUCCUGUCGUCAUCACCUACGUCCUGUCGACAUCACUUGCUUCCUGUUACCAUCACCUACGUCCUUUCGCCAUCACCUACUUCCUGUCGCCAUCACCUACUUCCUGUCGCCAUUACCUACGUCCUGUCGACAUCACCUACUUCCUUUUUCCAUCACCUACUUCCUGUUGCCAUUACCUACGUCCUGUCGCCAUCACCUACUUCCUGUCGUCAUCACCUACUUCCUGUCACCAUCAACUACUUCCUAACGCCAUCACCUACAUCCUUUCACCAUCAACUACUUGUCACCUUUUGUUGUUCUUUUACAGGUUACUUUUUCAGAUGUCAACCUACCAACUUCCUUUAAAUGAUACAAAAGUCUGAACCAUAAAAAAGAAAAUGUUCACUGUAGAAAUAUGGUUCAGUCUGAUCUGGACCGAAACCACCUCUUUUCAUCAGUCCAAGGAUUGAUGUUUGGUCCGGAGGAGGUUUCACACCUUGUAGUUUUAGUUUGGAUCAAACUGAAAAGUCUUUAUGAUAGGUGUGAAAGGGCCAUAAGAUUCAACAGUUGUGUUAGUCGUGUCUGUAAUGUUUACCACGUUCACAAUCUUAGUUUAGCAUGUUAUCAUUUGCUAAAUAGUAGUAAACACAAAGUCCAGCUGAGGCUGAUGGGAAUGGUAUUAGUUUUGCAGGUAUUUGGUCAUAAUCCACAGUACUGGAAACCCUAAAAUGUUGACCUGAUGAUGGAGCUAAAUGAAAAGUCAGAGGAUCACCAAAGUUAUUACAACUCAUAAUGGCAUAAUGUCAUUUCAAUAGCAAACUAAUUAACAGUAAGAUGAGAUGUCAGUUUUCUCUUUGAGUGUCUUAAACCCAAAUCAUCCGAGACUCUUCCUCUGUGUCAUGAUUGGUUUCUAUAUCCUGUUUUAUUUUGAAGUGUUCACUCCCCCUUAUGUCAUGUCUAGUUGUACAUCCU
Long non-coding RNA from Cottoperca gobio, 1587 nucleotides. RefSeq lists it as uncharacterized. Lineage: Eukaryota; Metazoa; Chordata; Actinopteri; Perciformes; Bovichtidae. The transcript has 3 exons. The record is from RefSeq and is a predicted model, not a curated record.